GUGUGUCUGUUGUCGUUUGCCUUUCGGAACGGUUUCGUUGGUCGGGCGAUUUGUUAUUGCAAAAUUUCCCGGAAAAUGAUGGUCUUGCUUUGAAUUUUGCCUUUGUUUAUGCCAGACAUGACGAUGGUUUAAGUUUAUUUUCGUUUUGGUGUAGGUGAAUUGGAAAUGGCGCAGAAAAGAAGUGGCGAUAGCAGUUUCUCUAGUUUUCUGAAGGAGUCUGAGAGUCCUAAGAAAGGGAAAGUUUCAAGUAGUUAUGGACCAACUGACAAUUUCCAGUCUUCUGUUGUGGAGUUGAAAGGGUCUUCUGUGACGAACAAUCGAAAGUUGAGGGUUGUACAUAUUGCUAUUGGAUCUGUUGGCACUAGGUAUUCUUCAUAUGCCCCUCUUUUGGUGGUUGAUUUUGUGGACACGAAUGGAGUUUUUGUUCGUGGCUACACUUUUAUCAAGAGCCUUGUCAGGUCUGUACCUGAAGUGUUGCACCUGGAUGACAUUGUUUUUGUCCGAGGUGGCUUGGUGGAGGUAUCAGACGCUGAUUAUACUUGGGUCAAGAGCUCUGUGGCCAUCAAGUUUGUAUCGAACACAAAAUUUGUUCUUGGCAAGCCUGACGACUCUUUUGCGUUCUACAUUUUUUUUUAUUGGGUUUUUAUUCUUUUGUUUUGUUUCUUGAAAUCUAAUGGCUUAUGUGUAUUGCGAAUCCGUCCGAGAUGGGAAAGAGACUAUUCUGGGUCUAGUCGACAUUGGGCAGAAUAAUGUCGAAUUGAAUGUCACUCGAUGGGCGUCAAAGAAUUUCUCUUUGAAGAAAGUUGUAGUCAUCAAAGGAGUAAUCCAGAAAGCGAAGGAAGACGCUUUGGAGUUGGUGGCUUAUUUUGAUACCAUUAUCAAAGAUGCUCCUGCUGACGACGGAAAGGUUCGAGAAUUGCUGGACUGGAUUAACGAUGUUCCGGCUGUGGGUGCGUCAUCGAAGAAAGUCGAUGUUUAGGGAAGCCACUGUUGAAGCUGCGAUCAUGGGACCACGAGCAUUUUGGAUUGUUGUGUGAUUUCGUGUCUAAAAUGUUGCAUGUCUGAAGUCGUGUUAAAUUUUAUGUAGGCUGCCCUAUAUAACCCCGAUUAAUUUUAAUC
Molecule: RNA transcript, 1119 nt
Organism: Daphnia magna
Lineage: Eukaryota; Metazoa; Arthropoda; Branchiopoda; Diplostraca; Daphniidae
Exons: 5
Source: RefSeq, a predicted model, not a curated record